Molecule: long non-coding RNA, 2944 nt
Organism: Lolium rigidum
Lineage: Eukaryota; Viridiplantae; Streptophyta; Magnoliopsida; Poales; Poaceae
Exons: 7
Source: RefSeq, a predicted model, not a curated record
GCAGCCAGCGAGCAUGCUUCGUGAGGAAGAGGCGCGUCACUGGGAGGACUCCGCCACGCCGUCUUCCACUCUACCACGCCGCCGUCAACGGGCUCGAGGAGGAGGCGCGAUGCGGGGAGGGCUGCACAAGACCACCGUCGACUCCGCUUAGUCGUGAAGAGCAGCGGUCGUUCUUCGUGUGCGCCGAGGCGGGCGGCAAGAUCUACGUCGCCAACAGCCACUACAAGCUGAAGAACGCGCUCAAGACGGCGGAAGCGUCUGCCGCGGUGGCCUCCUCCCUCUUGCCCCUCUCGGAUCCACGAUGGGCAGGUCAAGUUCGUGUUUUGGUCCGUCACCUGUGUUCGUUUCAGUCGAGCGUCCACUUGUGCCUGCUCAGGCCAAGAAAGAAAAGAUGCAUUUCAUUGGUCGAGGAUGUGUCAUCUUAGAACCUAUCAAUGGAAAAUUCUGGAAAGUUUGCAUUGCAUAUAUCUGGGAAUACAUGGACAAGACACGACACAAUAUAUAUGAGCUGAACUUUAUUGUUGUAGACCAUGAGAUUCGGCUCGAGUCUGUUAGGUAUAUCACUGUGUUAUCUCGGCGUGGUAUACUCUUCCCGUUGAGAGAAGUAUUACAAAUAUUGGCAAGUCUGAGUAAAGAUCUAAUUCUCUUCAAGGAAGACCUCAAGAGCAGCCAGCGACACGGCAAAAUCUGUUUGAGAUAGGCUUCGUUGUUUUUCACCAAGAGCAUUCAAGGACAAGAUUGUAUCAUAGACUGGCAGAGAAGAAGUACAAAGAGUGAACAAGUUGAAACAACACUCAACAGCCAUUCGCUUCAGUUUAGGUAGCACUAUGGUUAGAUUGUAUGUACUGUGUAUUCUUGGUUUCAUCUUGCUCCACAGCCAGAUAUUUCUUUUUUCCGUACUUCCUAUUGUUGUAAUCAAUGUGCUAGGAACCAUUACAUUGUUAUUUGUAAAUUUGUAAAUUGUUGCAGUAUUCACUUGAAUUAUUUUGUUUCAGAUGUUAAAUUUAUUGCAAUAACUUUUAGAAAUUAUCUUCUCUUUUCUUGCUUCUCUUCUUUGAUCCUUGUGUCCAGGAAGACCAGGAACUGGUGCUACCUUAUGUGGGCAUACUGCAAGGCAUUAGUGGAUACUUCGCACACAGGAUAUGUUUUAAAAUUUUAUGAUCAUUGGGUCAUUGGGUAAGCAUUUCUGUUGUUAGCUUUCUGCUAAAGUUGCAAUUUCUACGAACUCAAUCAAAUUUGCACAGGUAGUCAUGAAUAAAUGGCAGUUACAUAGAGUGUAUGUAGAAAUGCACCACUGGUGCAAAAUAAAUACUCAUUGCCGGAACCAUCAGUACAUUCUAAAAAUCAAACAGAGUAGGUUCUAAAUGUGAUCAGGUCUUGUGCCAAUGCUUAUUUCUAUGUAUUAUACGAUGACCAUGGUCAUUGGCUUAUAAUUUACCGAAAAACUUUGCCUGUGCACUCAUUGCAUUUAGAACAGACAGAUUGAGGUUAUAAACUGGUCUAUAUAUCAUGAAACAACACCACAUUCUUUGUUCAUACUUCAUACUUCCCAAAUUGUACAGAAUGUAGAAGAAAAACAAAGUGAUCCGUGCGAUCAGAAAACUGAUACAAACACAUGGAGAGGUCACCACAGAGAAUAAGAGAAACUACCUAAUUGGUCAGAGAAUAAUUUAGACUCAGAUUCAGUUUUACGGCUCACAUACAUAUUUCUUGUAGGCAUAUGGACUAUAUAUCCUACGAAGUUCACAAAAAUAUUGGUUUAUCUUGAAGUUACACUCAUAGUUACAACUUUUCAAAACAACAAGUUCACAAAACUGUUGCUUAUUAUGAGGUUACAGGUUCUAUACCAAAUGGUUGAUUCCGAUUAAUAUCACACUAAUCCGUAUAUCCUGAAGUUACACUAAUCAAUCUUAAGAGUACCAUAUGCUCAGUUGAUAUUCAGAUAAUCUACAUAUAUUUUCAUUUGCUAGCUUGACUAUACUGGUGCAUAUCUAAGCCAAGUGAAUCGGAAGUAUAAAACUGUGUGUGCGCUUCCAACUUCAGUCACUCCACCAUGAAGUUGAGGCCCUUAUUCUUGGCUAGAUGUAGAAACUGAAGCUGGCCUUUUGAGAAAGGCUUUAUUCAGUUAUACGAUCCAGGGAUUCAGGUACAUAUAAAGGGAAAACCUGAAGUUAUAACAUUUAGUAGGGGUCAGGUAUGGUGCAAGUGCUUAGGUAAUUUGUAAUCUUCUUUUACUACAUGGACAGUAUUUCGAUCUUUGUUACAUCUCUGUGCACCAUAUGUUGGCUCUUCAUCUUGAAGCUCUAUGGUUGUCUGAUGAAUAUUUGUAAGUUGCAUCCUCUGUAGAUGGGUAGUUAGUAAGACCAAACUGUUAGCAAGUGUGAUUUAAACAUUCUUUAUAUGAUCACAUAAAAAAGGAAAUUUAAAUGGGUAGUUAGUUCACUUUUAAGAUCCAGCUUUUAAUAAGAUAUUUUUUGUUUUGUAGUGUGCAUGUUUGGAUUAAGAUCUUGAUUAAUUCUCCGGCUUGAAAACUAUAGGAGGUUGGUUCAAGCGUCAAUGCCUACCCUUUGACCCCGCCGCCGCCCCUCAAUCAGCGAGUGGCAAGCUUGAGCUCCCGACGUCUGGUCGGCUCUAGGGACCUGCAGCAUCAGGGAGCUUUCCCGCCACGAACUGCCUGCGGAUCAGGCAUCCCUCCUAAGGUUUUUUGCAACUGGACAAUGCAUCAUUAUAUUUGUUCUCAACCCAGUUAGCUGAUUCAUGUGUUGUCUAAUGUCCAAGCCCACGUCAGCAUGGCACCAAAGGUUCAAUUUUGUAACACCUUAGAGUUGUGGUAGUUUUGCUAUGGGCUAUAGCACUUGAGCACUGCUCCUAUGAAGUUUUUGCGCAGUAAUACAAUAUGGACUGUAUGUAAUUUUGUUCAAUGAUGUACCGUAAUUUCUUUGAA